CGAGGAAUCCUUACCAGGGCUUGUUGUGACGAUUCCCGAGGGUGAGAGCUCGCUGCUGACGCUGGCCUCAGCAGUGUAGGAGGAAUCCAUGGUGGAGACAGAUGACCCCACGGCCUCGGCCAGCCUGUCGUCCCGUGCGGCAGCGAUUACUGCCCCACUGCCAGGCGUCUGCUGCGCAAGCCUGCUUAGUCGUGGCGGC
This 199-nucleotide long non-coding RNA is filed under the name Volvox carteri. Its description in RNAcentral is "long non-coding RNA (VCAR_LNC003431)". Lineage: Eukaryota; Viridiplantae; Chlorophyta; Chlorophyceae; Chlamydomonadales; Volvocaceae. The record is from RNAcentral.